AAUGCCUGGUCCUCCGCAAAUGAACCACUUUCCACAUGAUGGCAGACAUCAACCGCAGAGGUGGGACCAGGAGCCUCAGCGAAGGCAAAGGCAAAGGAUUUUCUGUCCGACCAAAAGAAGUAUUGUCAACAAACAGGUCCUUCGUCGCUUGCUGUUCUUCUUCUUCUUCUACUUCUUCAUCUUCGACUUCUUCUUCAAUAGUGGUUUGGAAAGGAAAAAACAAGUGGAUUACCGCCAACUACUGGUAUGGAGUGUGGAUCAGCUCUGCCUUCUAAACUGUUUCACCUUUUUCGCCCUGGCGAGUAGAGAAAACUUUCUCAGCUAACAGGAUUAUCCCUCAAUCCCAGCUGGUCAGAGUUGGAUUUGACCACCCCGACAACCACAGAGAGGAAAUCUUUUUGGGUCUAAAUCCAAAUUGGCACCCUUGAUUAUUUUAUCUUUCCCCCCAAAACCGAAAAUGUGGGAGCACAAUUCAGAUUUGUUAUUAUAUUUAAAAAUUGGAACUAAAAAAAAGACUGUGAUAUGGUCUUCCAGAUAUCUUUAAGAAGUAAUCAUAUGCUUUUAAAAAACAUUCUAUGUACAGAAAUGCUAAGUGUGACAAUGUCAUGUAAAAGAUUGAAAUAAACACUGCCAAGCAAUUACUUUGCAAAGAAUAUUAAGGUCCAAUUCUGAAUAUUUUAUAUCUUAAGUGGAGUGGAUAUUUCAGCUUUGAAGCAUGUGUAAGUACGAUUGUGUGAAUUACGUCUUUCACUUCAAUCUGAUCGAUAACUUUCACAGAACAUUUCAGCAACAGUGUUGAGAGGUGAUUGUACUGCAUUUGCUGAGGUAUUAAAAGCAAAUUCAAGCUUUAAAGGGCAACACACUCGCAAGGACAGAAAGCUGUGCUGAUUCAGAGGCUUGUGCA
This is a long non-coding RNA of Syngnathoides biaculeatus (alligator pipefish), 904 nucleotides long. RefSeq lists it as uncharacterized. The transcript is spliced from 3 exons. The record is from RefSeq and is a predicted model, not a curated record. Lineage: Eukaryota; Metazoa; Chordata; Actinopteri; Syngnathiformes; Syngnathidae.